RNAcentral lists this small RNA (146 nucleotides) under Lonsdalea populi. Its description in RNAcentral is "partial 6S RNA". It matches the Rfam family "6S / SsrS RNA", at positions 39 to 187 of the family's 187-position model. Rfam says of the family: E. coli 6S RNA was the first non coding RNA to be sequenced, but its function was unknown until recently. It consists of 184 nucleotides that fold into an extended hairpin structure with a large single-stranded internal bulge. Lineage: Bacteria; Pseudomonadati; Pseudomonadota; Gammaproteobacteria; Enterobacterales; Pectobacteriaceae. The record is from RNAcentral.
AGCCGAUAUUUAUAACCAACAGAAUGUUGUGCUUGUGGUUGGUGCGCAUGCUCGGUCCGUCCGAGAAGCCUAAAAACUGCGACGCGACGUUCACCUUGAACCAAGGGUUCAAGGGUUACAGCCUGCGACGGCAUCUCGGAGAUUCC